RNAcentral lists this transfer RNA (77 nucleotides) under bacterium. RNAcentral's name for it is "tRNA-Met". It matches the Rfam family "tRNA". From Rfam's summary of the family: Transfer RNA (tRNA) molecules are approximately 80 nucleotides in length. The record is from RNAcentral.
CGCGGGGUGGAGCAGACAGGUAGCUCGCUGGGCUCAUAACCCAGAGGUCGAAGGUUCAAAUCCUUCCCCCGCAACCA